Molecule: ribosomal RNA, 810 nt
Filed under: uncultured bacterium
Lineage: Bacteria
Description: bacterial SSU rRNA
Rfam family: Bacterial small subunit ribosomal RNA
Source: RNAcentral
AGAGUUUGAUCAUGGCUCAGAAUGAACGCUGGCGGCGUGCUUAACACAUGCAAGUCGAGCGAGGCGGAGGGGGCAACUCCUCCAGUCGAGCGGCGGACGGGUGAGUAACACGUGGGCAAUCUGCCCGAAAGUGGGGAAUACCCCAGGGAAACUUGGGCUAAUACCGCAUGUGAUCGCGACCUCGAAGGAGGAUGCGAUCAAAGGGGGGUCGCAAGACCUCCCGCUUUCGGAGGAGCCCGCGCCCGAUUAGCUAGUUGGUGAGGUCACGGCUCACCAAGGCUUCGAUCGGUAGCCGGCCUGAGAGGGUGAUCGGCCACACCGGAACUGAGACACGGUCCGGACUCCUACGGGAGGCAGCAGUGGGGAAUCUUGCGCAAUGGGCGAAAGCCUGACGCAGCAACGCCGCGUGAAGGAUGAAGGUCCUUGGAUUGUAAACUUCUGUCGGCCGGGAAGAAAUUCAUCGGGGUUAAUACCCCCGGUGAUUGACUGUACCGGCAAAGGAAGCCCCGGCUAACUCUGUGCCAGCAGCCGCGGUAAUACAGAGGGGGCAAGCGUUAUUCGGAAUUAUUGGGCGUAAAGGGCGCGUAGGCGGUCCUUCAAGUCUCUCGUGAAAUCCCUCGGCUUAACUGAGGACGUGCGGGAGAUACUGCUGGGCUUGAGUCCGGAAGAGGGUGGUGGAAUUCCCAGUGUAGCGGUGAAAUGCGUAGAUAUUGGGAGGAACACCGGUGGCGAAGGCGGCCACCUGGGCCGGAACUGACGCUGAGGCGCGAAAGCGUGGGGAGCAAACGGGAUUAGAUACCCUAGUAGUCC